AAAAUAAAUUAAAACCGCAGCGCGAGGGAGGGAGGAAGGGAGGGAGCGCGCGAGUAUUGUGGAAAUGCCACUCCCGGCGUUCCUGGCGGCGGCGGCGAAGCUCGCCGUCCUGGUGGCGGCCGCCGCGACGGCGGCCAACGCGGCCUCCUUCGCGCGGUACCGGCGCCGCCACCUCCGCCGCAUCCCGAACCCCAUCGACGAGUCCGCCGACCCCGUCGCCGACUUCCGCGCCCUCCCCUCCGCUGGCGCCGGCGACGACUCAGAAGACGGCAGUUUCUUCUUUGGGCUGGCGACCGCGCCUGCGCAUGUUGAGGACAGGCUGGAGGAUGCUUGGCUUCAGUUUGCAAUCGAGCAUUCCUGCGACGACAAGGAGGCCAUGCGUGACCAAAUGACAGCAGACGCGGUGAUGGCGUCGGCUGCCGGUGAUGGAGGUGCUCAGUUGGCUUCCAGGUCUAGAGGGGAGGAAAAGGCUGGUGAAGGAGAGAGGAGGAAGCCUCUUAAGGUUGCCAUGGAGGCUAUGCUCAGGGGUUUUGAAAUGUUUGCUGAGGGUGGUGAAUCUGGUUCUGGUGAUAACUGCAGCCACAACGUCGCAGCUUGGCACAAUGUUCCUUGCCCGCAAGAAAGGCUUAAAUUUUGGUCUGAUCCUGAUACUGAAUUGAAACUUGCCAAGGAAACUGGGAUCAGUGUUUUCCGCAUGGGGAUUGACUGGACAAGGGUAAUGCCUAAGGAACCAACUGAUGAAGAGUUCAAGAGCUCAGUCAAUUUUGCAGCACUUGAGCGUUAUAGGUGGAUCAUCCAAAAGGUUCAUGAAUAUGGAAUGAAAGUGAUGCUUACACUAUUUCAUCACUCACUUCCACCUUGGGCUGGAGAAUAUGGGGGAUGGAAGAUGGAAAAAACUGUCAAGUACUUCAUGGAUUUUGUGAGGCUUGUCGUUGAUUGUGUAUCAGAUUUAGUGGAUUACUGGGUGGUUUUCAAUGAGCCUCAUGUGUUUGUGAUGCUGACCUAUUGUGCUGGUGCUUGGCCUGGUGGAGACCCUAAUGCAAUUGAAAUGGCAACAUCUGCUUUGCCAACUGGCGUAUACAAUCAAGCGUUGCAUUGGAUGGCCAUUGCACAUGCAGAAGCCUAUGAUUACAUACAUUUGGAGAGUAAAAAUAAAAGGAAGCCAAUUGUUGGUGUCGCUCAUCAUGUAUCAUUUACACGGCCGUAUGGACUAUUUGAUGUUGCGGCUGUCACACUAGCUAAUUCAUUGACCCUUUUCCCUUACAUUGAUAGCAUAUGUGAUAAAUUGGACUUUAUUGGCAUCAACUACUAUGGGCAGGAGGUGAUAUCGGGUCCUGGUCUAAAACUUGUGGACAAUGAUGAGUACAGCGAAUCUGGUCGUGGUGUUUAUCCUGAUGGGCUAUUCCGUGUCCUGAUUCAGUUUAAUGAACGAUACAAGAGCUUAAAUAUACCUUUUAUGAUCACUGAAAAUGGAGUUUCUGAUGAGACUGAUCUGAUUCGUAAACCAUACAUUCUGGAGCACCUGUUAGCCAUCUAUGCUGCAAUCAUAAUGGGUGUGCGUGUGCUUGGUUAUCUAUUCUGGACAACAUCCGAUAAUUGGGAAUGGGCUGAUGGGUAUGGUCCCAAGUUUGGGCUUGUUGCUGUUGAUCGUGCCAACAAUCUAGCACGGAAGCCUCGUCCUUCAUACUAUUUAUUCACCAAGGUUGUUACAACUGGGAAAAUAACAAGACAGGACAGAGCGUGUGCUUGGAGGGAACUGCAACAAGCUGCAUUUCAAAAGAAAACACGCCCGUUUUUUAGGGCAGUAGAUAAGUAUGGUCGGAUGUAUGCAGGGGGUCUAGAUCGGCCUAUUCAAAGACCUUUCAUAUUACGGGAUUGGCGAUUUGGUCAUUAUGAAAUGGAAGGCUUGCAGGAUCCUUUGAGUUGCUUUAUAAGAUCCAUUUUUUCACCAAUUUCACACAAGAAGAAGAUUCAUUACAUUGAGGAUGAUGAUGUUUCUUAUUCUAUCUCCUGAUAAUGCAUGUCACUAUAGUUGGUAAGUAGGAUAAUUUGUCCUCUAGGUAAAUAAAAUCUGGGAAUCAGAAGUCUCUUUUUGGAUGGAUUACCAUGUGUACUAUUUAUAAUAGCAGAACUUCUUCUAAGUCUGUGCAUGUCUUCUUUGAUAGAACUAGUUCACUAACUUAUCUAUGUAUGCUACACUACGUGGUACAUACAAUUAAAUUUGGUAUGUCGGUACCCUGAUCUCCAGUGAGCAAGAAUGGAUCAUGCGUUCCCCUUUCUCUUGCAGGACCCAGGGAUCCCCACAACUCUGUGGGUUUGUCUGUUGUUCAUCAUCAUAUUAUUCAUCCUGUCAAAAUCGCAUCUUGAUCGCGAUGGAGCGUGCGAAUCUUGGAGAAAACCACACUCCUUCCAACAGGCAACAGUCAGAGGAGUUUAGCACUGGGCACAUCUGAAGCCGGUGAUAGGUAUCAUGAUACUGCUAGAGCACAGCUAACAUAUUAAUUCCUCGGCUUGGAUUACAGCUAUCUGUGGCGACGCAAGAUUAUUGUUAGCUUGGCAUAUAUGAUUAAUGCAAGCGAUUGGAGAGCAGUCAGGCAGCAUGGAAGGAUCAGGACGCCAUCAGCCCCAUGAUGUAUACUUAUUCGUUUGGGAGAUGUCCAAUCACCAUGGCAUGUUUGCAAGGGACAGUCCUGUUGCAAAUCCCAGUCCAAUCAAUGGCUAUCCAUGUGUAUAAGAUGAAUGAAAGCCAUGGACUUGGAUGUCGUUAUGUGGAGAUGAUGUUUGUGCAGCUGCAAACUUAACUGAAGCCAUCUCCUAAGUUGGUGCCAUGUCAUUUUCUAUUGUCUGGGCAUAGAACUGCAUUGGCUGUCGUUGCCUCAUGUAUUGCGAGGAAAAAGACCUGAUAAUCCUGUAUUUUUGCGCGUAAUACAGUGUGUACUUAUGAUGCAUCAGGAUGAUUGAAGUGUGACUGUGUAAGUAGCAACUAUACAGAAACAAUGCUGUGUCAGAAAGGGGGAGGCAAACUGUCAGUAGAAGAAAUAAAGAGAUUUUAAGUUGCUGGCUUGA
This is an RNA transcript of Setaria italica (foxtail millet), 3066 nucleotides long. It is a transcript of the gene named beta-glucosidase-like SFR2, chloroplastic, with no coding region annotated. NCBI's taxonomy places the organism in Eukaryota, Viridiplantae, Streptophyta, Magnoliopsida, Poales, Poaceae. The transcript is spliced from 13 exons. The record is from RefSeq and is a predicted model, not a curated record.